Molecule: transfer RNA, 74 nt
Filed under: Chloroflexota bacterium
Lineage: Bacteria; Bacillati; Chloroflexota
Also listed under: 1 other name
Description: Chloroflexi bacterium (cold seep metagenome) tRNA-Gln
Rfam family: tRNA
About the family: Transfer RNA (tRNA) molecules are approximately 80 nucleotides in length. Their secondary structure includes four short double-helical elements and three loops (D, anti-codon, and T loops).
Source: RNAcentral
UGGGGAAUAGUCUAGUGGUAGGACAGCGGACUCUGGAUCCGUGAGCGAAGGUUCGAAUCCUUCUUCCCCAGCCA